AUUCGUGACUGGGGUGAAGUCGUAACAAGGUAGCCGUAUCGGAAGGUGCGGCUGGAUCACCUCCUUU
Molecule: ribosomal RNA, 67 nt
Filed under: Janthinobacterium lividum
Lineage: Bacteria; Pseudomonadati; Pseudomonadota; Betaproteobacteria; Burkholderiales; Oxalobacteraceae
Also listed under: 3 other names
Description: partial 16S ribosomal RNA
Rfam family: Bacterial small subunit ribosomal RNA
Source: RNAcentral